RNAcentral lists this long non-coding RNA (291 nucleotides) under Homo sapiens (human). Its description in RNAcentral is "HSALNT0055670". The record is from RNAcentral. Lineage: Eukaryota; Metazoa; Chordata; Mammalia; Primates; Hominidae.
CCACUUGGUCACAAUUCAGGAGCAGAGGAUGGAGGAUUUACAAAAUCGUCAGCCUGUGGCGUUCCCACAGGGCAAGGCUCACCAUCAUGAACCUAGUCUACUUGUCUCCUUGCACCAAAGCCUUUGUCCCUUUUCUCCUCUUGGAUUCAUUUGUGAGGUCAAUGGCAAGUUUCCAACAAAACAGCAAAAACCUUGUUUUGUUUGUUUGUUUGUUUGUUUUUCUUUUUUUGAGAGAGGGUCUUGCUCUGCCACCCAGGUUGGAGUGCAGUGGCACGAUCUUGGCUAAUUGCA